GUCCCACAGCACGCCGUUUCCCAUCCCCGUCACUCUCUCUUAUUUCACCGUCACCACUCAUCUCGUUCCCCAUCCCCUUCCCCUCCCCAUGUUAUCCACUCAGGAGCUCGUCGGUGCUGCUGCCGGCGCGCCGUGGCGCACACGUUGCGACGGCGUGACUGACACCUCCCGAAGCAACGGUGCGACCCCCGCCUCUCCCUACGGCAUGGCUUCGCCAUCGUCAGCCUCCGACCCCAACCCCACUGCUCCGUGCUGUCCUUGCGAAGUCCAGGGGGCAGCGCUCUCGCCGACGAGUGCGUAGUCGGCGGCAUCCACGUGCGGCGCCCUCUGCCCCGCGUCCCCCGCUCCGCGCCCCCAGCUGCGCGGCGCCAGAUCGGUCGGCCUCUUCGGCUGGCAACGCGCGGUCGGCCUCUUCUACUCGCACCGCCUGGCGAGGCACGCGCGCCGUGCAGCGCGAGGACACCCUGCAGCAAGCCGUGCUCGCUCGGAUGGGCGGAGAUCGAGCAGGAACAGGGGAAUUGAUCUUACCUUCUCACGGUCGGCUCCCCUCUCUCCCGCCGCGUCCUGCAUCGGCAACUCCGUUGGAUUGGUACCGUCGGUGAAGUUUGAUCUUCGAGCAACUUGACGACGAAGAUAGGCCCAGCACUCUCACUGAUGAUAUUCUAUGUCCAUCUUGGGGAGAGUGAGUUCACUUGUGGCUACACGGUGGAGGCAUCUGCCUUGGUUGCUGCCUGAACUCAGCAUCGAUGUCCAAGAUUUCCUAUCCGCUCUGUGCGCUAACCCUAUUGAUGAAAAUGAUAUGGAGCAAGCCAUGGCCUCUUUGACCAAAGAAACAAGGAGUUUCUUGAAUAAACAACAGAGAGAAUUCACUAUCUCAAGUUUGCAUCUUAACCUCUAUUUGAUCAACACUUUCCUUCACAAAGUUGGCCCACUGAUAGGUGAUGCAAUUAACAGUGGUUUGUUGAAAGAUUUGGAUCUUGGCAUUCUUGAUGAGACAUGGACUAACGAUCGUAGCGACGAAGAGAUGCAACAACGAGCUCAACACAUAGAUGAUUUUUCACUGCCUACCCUUGUGUGCUCCACUGCCUCACAAAGCUCUUUCUAAAAAAUGUAGGCUUUGACAAAUUGGACAUGCACCAUGUGCUAUUCGACUCCUGCAAGCACCUGAAGCAUCUAACCCUUUAUCAUUGCGAUACUGGUUCCUAAUCUAUCUUUAAGAUUGAUGCACCAGACUCAAAACUCUCUGUUCUAGAAAUUGAAAAGUGUUGCUUUUUGAGAGUUGACCUUGUCUGCCUCCCGAAAUUGGAGAAGUUAUUUUGUGAUUAUUGGGUAUCUCGGUAUGCCCCAUUGACCUUUGGUUUUGUCCCAUCUCUUGGGGAGUUAGAACUCUCAUGCAGUUCAGUUUGUGAGGAACACAUAUUUAAAUGAAGUGAGCUUCUACAUGGAGUAACAAGCAUACAUACUCUCACAUUGGAUUUCCAAGGUGAAACCCCAUAUAUUAUUGAUGGAGCACUCAGUGAAAAUAGUUCGUAUGGAGGAUUUGAACAUUCUGGCAUUCCAGAUGGCAUUCCUCAACUGGAAGAGUACCUAGCUGUGUACUGCUCUAUGUCUGCACGACCUUGGCCUGCAGCAAAUUGGAAGUUGUACAUUGCCUCUUCACUGUUUCGAGGGGCAUCUAUCUAUGCAGGAGUAUACCAUAGAUGGACUAUGGGUAAUGCUUCAGGCGGUGAGCAUGCUAGAUUUGCCGGCAAGGCUGGCAAUGUUAUGGUUGACUGUGCGUGGGAUUACAUUAAUAGAGAAAAUGUCCUGAGAGCACACCCUGCUAGAGGUAUGCAUGUCUCGAAGGCUCCCCAACAAGGUUUCCAUGUAUCUCUCUCAAAAAAAACAAGGUUUCCAUGUAGAGCAGGAAGAUUCAAGUUUGACAAGUGGUCAAGGCAAAUUUGUUCCUAGCGAAAAGGUUAUGAAGCUACGACAUAAAAUAAUGAAGUUCAUGAAAGAUCAUAUAUAGCCCAAGGAAGAUGAGUUAUACAAACAUGCACAAUCAACCUCACGGUGGACAAUCCAUCCUGAAGAAGAAAAUUUGAAAGCAUUAGCAAAAGAGGAGGGAUUGUGGAACUUAUUUAUUCCGCUGUAUGGUAUUGAACAACGAAGGGUGUUGGCGUUGGCGAGCAUUAUCUUGACCCGCUUGUUCCCCUCGUUCACCCGCGCAAGCUCCGAUUUUGCCGCCGCUGGCUGUAAUAAGUCAUAGGCACAGAGGAUAAUAAGUAUCUCCACUGUUAUUCUGAAUAAUUGCAUAUAACAUCAUGGCAUGAAUGUUGACUAACAAAUCAGGAGUUGGUAUAUCUUGUCGAUUCAACAACACAAAUGAAUAUUAGCUUAUCAUUGCUGCUUAUUACGAAGAUGAUGCAAAUUGAAAAUGAAACUCUGUUUCUACCUCAUUCAUAUUCGCAUGUAUCUGCAUUAUAUUUACCCAUCCCGUGUGUGAAGUGUUUGUUGUUAUUUUCUGAACAAAUUAUUGUUUUUCUUUAUUAACUUUGCUAAUUUACCAAUUCAGGCCAGGUUUUCAAUGAGCUAGUAGGCAGCCCAUUCUAUGUUGCUCUUGAGGUAUUGCACAAACGCUAUGGGCCAGAGUCCGAUGUGUGGUGAGGUGGAGUGAUACUCUAUGUAUUGCUAAGUAGGGUUCCACCAUUUUGGGCAGAUACACAGAAAGGCAUAUUUGAUGCACUUCUGAAGGGGCACCUUGAUUUGGAAUCAGACCCCUCGCCUAAGAUAUCUGACAGUGCAAAGGACCUUAUAAGAAAGAUGCUUUGCAAUUUCCCUUCAGAGCGUUUGACAGCCCAUGAAGUGCUACCGGAAUGGCUCCUAGCACCUCCCGAAGGAAUCAAAAGCCAGGACAGCCUACAACUCUAACCCCAUCAUGAUGUUGCCAUGGACUUGAUAAAUAGUGUCACUGGGGUUGAUGAGGAAGGUUGCUCUCGCCAACGUAUUCUUACCUUUGCAGCCAAAAGAUAUAUUAGCACCAUUGAAAGAAAUCCAGAAGAUCCUGAUCCAUAUUAUAACUGGGCCCUAGUUCUCCAGGAAAGUGCAGAUAAUGUGGAUCCUAACUCUGAUUCUUCAAAAGAUUCAUUACUUGAGGAGGCUUGCAAGAAGUAUGCUGAAGCUACAUGACUUUGCCCAACACUGUAUGACGCAUACGAUGUGCACAGAUGUUAUUUGAGCUUCACUCCCCACUUCCACAGUCACAAGUCCAAACAUCACCAGAAGUCUACUGAUACACAAUGUCGGGUUUUGUUGGCUCUGUAUAGCGCAUCAGCACAACAACAAUCCACUAUAAUUUUAUUCAAGCUAGCUAGGUUGCUAGACGAUGGGUGUCGAAAUAUAUUCUAUCUCUUAAAUUUGGAAGUCUUGACAAGGUAAUGAUGCUUCCCUCAGUUGUCUUCCCUCAUUUGUAUGGAGUCGUAUUUAGAAUAUUUGUCAGUUUAUACACAAUUUGUCAGUUUAUUUAGGAUAUUUGUUCACUCUGUAUAGCGGGUUGAAUUGAACAAUUUGCUAUGUGCUAGUCAUAAGCUUGCUCUAUUAUAGCGGGGGCGUACCAAAGGCUGAAGAAUUCUGGCAACAGAUCAUAUGCUUGCUCGCAUUCUCUGAUGGUUCUAAUUUUACUAUGUGCUAGACCAAAGGGCAAAAGGUUUCAAAUUUUUUCAGUUGUGCUACAUUCCAAAUUCGCAUCUAGUGAUCCAGUUUUUGAGUUUUUCACAUUGUCAAUAAAAAAAGGGGCCAUGCUAUUUCCUAAGUCUCUAGCCCAAACUUGAGAUCUAAUAAUAUUCAUGUGUUUUACUCCUUUUCCUUUUUUCGCACAUAGAGAAUAUAUAUUAUUUGAAGCUGAUCAAUAUCCAGUUUUACUGAUUAGCCCAAACUUAAGAUCUAAUAAUAUUCAUGUGUUUUACUCCUUUUCCUUUUUUCGCACAUACAUAAUAUAUAUUAUUUGAAGCUGAUCAAUAUCCAGUUUUACUGAUUAGGUAAUCGUUAUUUCUACAGAAGCUGAUUAGAUCAAAUCUCCGAACUCAAAAUUAUGAAAAUCCCAUAAAAUGAACGCAUGGGAAGUACACAAUAGUGGAACAACUCACGGGAAGACAAAUCCCAACAGGCUGUCCUGAGAUCAAGGCACACUAGUUGAGCUCCUGUCGUGAGAUAACGCCUCGUCCACAGCCAGUCGAUCUUGCCAUCGAGGUUGCUCUUCAGAAAUAGAGAGCGGCAAACCAAGCUACUCUUGAGAAAGAGAGAUUGGCAAGCCAGGCUGCUCUUCAGGCUGCUCUUGAGGAG
This is a long non-coding RNA of Hordeum vulgare subsp. vulgare (domesticated barley), 4320 nucleotides long. RefSeq lists it as uncharacterized. The record is from RefSeq and is a predicted model, not a curated record. NCBI's taxonomy places the organism in Eukaryota, Viridiplantae, Streptophyta, Magnoliopsida, Poales, Poaceae. The transcript has 17 exons.